ACAUCCCUAUAGUUCAGCAAGAAACAAUUGACAUCUGCAGUCAAUGACGCACUCACCUAACCGGUCCUUUUAACCUGUUUUGCCUGGGGGGGGACCCUGAUUUGCAAAGAGACUGCUGUUAUACUGGCACUGGACAUGUUGUCUCAGCUGUUGUAGUCCCAAAGCAGUCUGUGGACCAGCAUGCGCCAGUCUUGGAUAGUUAUCCUUUCCCUCUUCAGUAAGACAAAAAAAACACAAAACGUCCUUAACACAGUUGAUAAGGCGCCAGGUUUCCAGGAUUGCUCUUUUCAUAUGGGUGCCCUGAAACAUUCUGUAAAGCAUCACAUGUUGCAUGAGAAAGAUCAGGUACAGAAUCCAUUAUCUGGAAAGCUGUUAUCCAGAAGGC
Long non-coding RNA from Xenopus laevis (African clawed frog), 385 nucleotides. RefSeq lists it as uncharacterized. NCBI's taxonomy places the organism in Eukaryota, Metazoa, Chordata, Amphibia, Anura, Pipidae. The transcript has 3 exons. The record is from RefSeq and is a predicted model, not a curated record.